ACUCAGAAAAAGAACAUUGAGUUCUGCUUCCUCUCUCUGCCUUGGCAGGCCUCACUCGUUUGUGAUUCCACUCGUGAUGCGGCGUGAGCUCGCAUACAUGCCUGGCUUCUCCAGCUGCCUAUGGCUUCAGCGGACAGCUGCAAGAUGUGCACCUGCAUCCUAGGAACAGAAUCUCCACUCCCUGACUUCUUCCCACCACCACCUGAGUGAGGGUUAGCAGCCCC
RNAcentral lists this long non-coding RNA (224 nucleotides) under Ictidomys tridecemlineatus (thirteen-lined ground squirrel). Its description in RNAcentral is "lncRNA (ENSSTOG00000034219.1)". Lineage: Eukaryota; Metazoa; Chordata; Mammalia; Rodentia; Sciuridae. The record is from RNAcentral.